Long non-coding RNA from Sceloporus undulatus (fence lizard), 370 nucleotides. RefSeq lists it as uncharacterized. The record is from RefSeq and is a predicted model, not a curated record. NCBI's taxonomy places the organism in Eukaryota, Metazoa, Chordata, Lepidosauria, Squamata, Phrynosomatidae. The transcript is spliced from 2 exons.
UCAAAUCUUGGAAUACUAGGAACCUGCCUGAAAACAUGUGGCUGGACCUCAUCAAGUCAUCCUGAUUCGGAAGAGCUGAUCCAGCCGUCCUCAUUGUAACAAUCACUGAAUGAUCAUAAUUCAUGGCUAUCGUAAAAGGUUUCCGUAUUGAUUAAGCUCUUUCCAAGUUCUACGUUAGGAAAAAACCUGACGUUUGCUGCCAGCAAAAAAAGAAAUACAAAAUUGUGGGAAAACUGCUAGCUAUUUUGAUUCUGACAUACAAGCAUCUCUGAUUAAAAAUAGGUAUUUUGGUGUCUGUUUAGGGAUUGUAAUCAAACAUAAUCGACAGUCUUUAUACAAUAACUUCUGAAAUAAAAUCUAUUGGCAUGAA